Molecule: ribosomal RNA, 253 nt
Filed under: uncultured bacterium
Lineage: Bacteria
Description: partial 16S ribosomal RNA
Rfam family: Bacterial small subunit ribosomal RNA
Source: RNAcentral
UACGAAGAGGGCAAGCGUUGUUCGGAAUUACUGGGCGUAAAGGGCGCGUAGGCGGCUUAUCAAGUCAGGCGUGAAAUUCCCGGGCUCAACCUGGGGGCUGCGCUUGAUACUGAUGAGCUUGAAUGCGGGAGAGGAUAGUGGAAUUCCCAGUGUAGAGGUGAAAUUCGUAGAUAUUGGGAAGAACACCGGUGGCGAAGGCGGCUAUCUGGCCCGUAAUUGACGCUGAGGCGCGAAGGCGUGGGGAGCAAACAGG